GGCCGAGUGGCGGAAUGGCAGACGCUCUGGACUUAAAAUCCAGUGGGAGGUAACUCCCGUGCGGGUUCGACUCCCGCCUCGGCUA
Molecule: transfer RNA, 85 nt
Filed under: Pirellula sp.
Lineage: Bacteria; Pseudomonadati; Planctomycetota; Planctomycetia; Pirellulales; Pirellulaceae
Description: tRNA-Leu
Rfam family: tRNA
About the family: Transfer RNA (tRNA) molecules are approximately 80 nucleotides in length.
Source: RNAcentral